This 92-nucleotide transfer RNA is filed under the name Pseudomonas aeruginosa. RNAcentral's name for it is "tRNA-Ala(ggc)". Lineage: Bacteria; Pseudomonadati; Pseudomonadota; Gammaproteobacteria; Pseudomonadales; Pseudomonadaceae. The record is from RNAcentral.
CGAGGGCGCUGGCGCAGGCGGCGCGGGCGGCUGGCUGCCGUCGCCGGGCAGCAGGCGGAACAGGCCGAACGGUACCAGGCCGUAGCCUUCGA